GACGGUUCAACAACGGUCGGCCCAGUCUUUCUCCAUUCCCGCAAAAGUUUUGAGAAAUUUUAGGCUACGACGGUUGAAAAUACAGUCGUCCCUCUAAAUUCUAAAAGAAGGCGCUUAGACAUUUGGACAAAGAGGGAAAAGUAGCUUCAGUCUCUCAGCUGUGAAUCUCUAAGCCCUGAAUCGCACUCUCAAUUGUGAAUCUCUAAACCCUAAGUUCUCAAACCGCCAUCCCUCUGCAACAGUGAAUAUCUCUCUCAGCCGCGCAUCUCUCUCAGCUUCGAGCUUUCCUCUCUCAGCCGCCACCACAAAUCUUUCUUAACAGUGAAGAGAAGGUAGCUCUGGUUGUGUUCUCCAGCCUGUGUCCAGCUCUAAGAUGAAUCAAUUCUUCUCCAAGCUGCUCCUUCAAAGAAGCAGAGAAACGGGAAUCAUGGAAGAAUAAAGGUCAUGGGAAAUUUAGGCAAGUCACUGAAGGGGAUUUCUUGGGUGAAGUCACUGGAAGUGAAAAAAUUAUCUGUCAUUUCUACCACAAGGAGCUCUAUCGAUGCAAGAUAAUGGAUAAGCACUUAAAGUCCCUUUCAACAAAACAUAUUGAUACAAAGUUCAUCAGGCUUGAUGCAGAGGCUGCUCGAAAGGUUACAGAAGUUCAUAAUCUAUUUUUCAGAGGUAUUGAUCAAAAUCAGGCUGUUCAGAAGGUCGUUGAGAGAAGAAUUCAGAUAUAGUCGCAUAUUCAACAGGUUCUUGAACCCAUAUUCUUUUUUUAAUAAUGAAUAAUAUGUUUCAUUUCAGAUCUGGUGUAGGAAGCUUUAGAUUCUGCUUUGUUAUGGUGCAUGUAAGUACCUUGGUUCAUUUAAAAUGGACCUACUUCUAUGUGCUCCAGAUCAAGCCAGAACUAUUGUAGUUUGCUAUGCGGACUGGUAUGUUUGGAGUUAACUGUUAGCUGAGUUCAUGAAUAAGGAAUUAUGGCCAAUGUGAUUGAUGGAUUCAAUUUCGGUAUUGGAAAUAUUAAUAAGCUUGAAUUUGAUUAUACAGUAGAGUGAAAACAAAAAAAUUAUGAAAAUUAAGUGGUCCAAUGUGUCUUAGAAGCAUACUGCUAGAGAGUGAUCAAUUUUAGAAAGGUCUAGUGGCUGUUAUUUUGGUGUCGUAGCUGCCAUAUUUUGGCCGAGUUGGAGAGGCAUAUCUCAGCUCUGAAAUAAUAGGUUAUGACAAAUUGGCUUUCGAGGGAAUUGGUGGUGUAUGGCUAAGAUCUUCAGGUGCAUCUUCCGAUGGCAUGUCAGUUACCAUUAAUGUUAUGUUUUUCUUCCAAACUGGUGGUCCUCACUCAUGCAUAAUAGGUACAGGAUAGUGUUACCAUUUUAUAAACCACAUGAGCAAACAAUGAUGCCUAAUUAUAAUAGGAAACAAUGGUGCCUUAUUCAUAUGGGAAAAAAGUGGUUUGUUUAAAAUCUCAGCAUUCACAAAGAACACCUAAGGAACCUAUAUUUAUAUGUUAUUAGUCACAUAAAUUUAUUCUUAUAUCUUUCUAUUGACUUGGUGUGGCUCGUAGAGUAUGAAUAAAUGAUGUUGAAAAGAAUACAAUCACUACAAGAAAAUUUCCAAUUUGCAACAUAUAUUCUGCGUUGAAAGUGAAGGUGCGUAUAUAUCAUUUAUUUUUUAGGUUUUACACUUCUAUAUGUAACUCCAAAUAAAUUGUCUCAAUGUUUAUUUGAUUUUUCUAUGUUGUGUCAUUUUUUUUAAUGUUUAAUAUUUAUCUUCUAUUUGUUUAAUUUGAAUAUUUAGGGUAAUUGAUUUUUGUUCUUUAGGGUUAAUUGAUUUUAGAAUUGUAUCAUGUUCAAUUAUUGUUAUGUAGAAGAGUUUAUUUAUUGGUCAUUAUUUCAGUUUUGACAUUUUUUUUCUUUUAGUUUGGCAUUUUUUUCCGGUUGCACUUUCGAUGGCUUGAUGCGCGAUUGGCGGGACUAGUUUUUCACAUCAAUGAUAUUGUAUAUGGACUGGAUUUUAAAAAAACCAUUGUUGAGUUUCAUUUAUAUCAUGGAGACUAAGCUCAUUUUCAUUGUUAAAUAUAGGAACAUUCGGCGAAGAGUCACGACAAGAUCGAGAUGACCCUAAGUAAGUGGUUAUGCUAAGUCUGAAGCUUAUAUUUCGUGAAUGAAACCGAGAAAGAAACCGACUUAAAGAGUUUGUGGACUGAGUUGAAGAACCAUGUGCCGAGAUGCUCGCAGUUCUGGAUUCAGUGUGACUCUGCUAAUCAAUAUCAAUAUUAGAACAUUCUUUCUAUGAAUCCGCCUUAGAUUUUAUUGUUGUUUUAGAUUAAUUCUGAAUUUUGAUGUAUUUCUUAGUUAAUUUAUGUAUGAUCUUGAGAAAUAUCUCUGUAUUGUUUUUGAAUUCUGGAAAUCACAUUUUUUUCAAUAUAUUUUGAAUGCACUAGUUAGCAUUCAAUCAUUGGGUAGUUUGUUAUAAAAUUAAUAU
Molecule: long non-coding RNA, 2463 nt
Organism: Vicia villosa (hairy vetch)
Lineage: Eukaryota; Viridiplantae; Streptophyta; Magnoliopsida; Fabales; Fabaceae
Exons: 5
Source: RefSeq, a predicted model, not a curated record